AUACGGGAGGCAGCAGUGGGGAAUCUUAGACAAUGGGGGAAACCCUGAUCUAGCCACGCCGCGUGAGCGAUGAAGGCCUUAGGGUUGUAAAGCUCUUUCGUGGGGGAAGAUAAUGACUGUACCCCAAGAAGAAGCCCCGGCUAACUCCGUGCCAGCAGCCGCGGUAAUACGGAGGGGGCUAGCGUUGUUCGGAAUUACUGGGCGUAAAGCGCACGUAGGCGGACGAGAAAGUCAGGGGUGAAAUCCCGGGGCUCAACCCCGGAACUGCCUUUGAAACUCCUUGUCUUGAGGUCGUGAGAGGUGAGUGGAAUUCCGAGUGUAGAGGUGAAAUUCGUAGAUAUUCGGAGGAACACCAGUGGCGAAGGCGGCUCACUGGCACGAUACUGACGCUGAGGUGCGAAAGCGUGGGGAGCAAACAGGAUUAGAUUCCCCGGUAGUCCG
Molecule: ribosomal RNA, 441 nt
Filed under: uncultured bacterium
Lineage: Bacteria
Description: bacterial SSU rRNA
Rfam family: Bacterial small subunit ribosomal RNA
Source: RNAcentral